Molecule: ribosomal RNA, 327 nt
Filed under: uncultured eukaryote
Lineage: Eukaryota
Description: partial 18S ribosomal RNA
Rfam family: Eukaryotic small subunit ribosomal RNA
Source: RNAcentral
CCCUUAGAUGUUCUGGGCCGCACGCGCGCUACACUGAUUCAUGCAACAAGUUUUGUCCUUGGCUGAUAGGCCUGGGUAAUCUUUGAACGUGAAUCGUGAUGGGGAUAGAUGAUUGCAAUUAUUCAUCUUCAACGAGGAAUUCCUAGUAAACGCAAGUCAUCAGCUUGCAUUGAUUACGUCCCUGCCCUUUGUACACACCGCCCGUCGCACCUACCGAUUGAAUGGUCCGGUGAAAUCUUCGGAUCUGAGAGAUGUCUGAUUAAUUUCGGACGCCUUUUGGAAAAGUUGUUUAAACCUUACCAUUUAGAGGAAGGUGGAGUCGUAACA